Molecule: unclassified non-coding RNA, 329 nt
Filed under: soil metagenome
Description: partial contains 5.8S ribosomal RNA, internal transcribed spacer 2, and large subunit ribosomal RNA
Rfam family: 5.8S ribosomal RNA (bases 1-120)
Source: RNAcentral
GAUGAAGAACGUAGCGAAAUGCGAUAAGUAAUGUGAAUUGCAGAAUUCAGUGAAUCAUCGAAUCUUUGAACGCACAUUGCGCCCCCUGGUAUUCCGGGGGGCAUGCCUGUCCGAGCGUCAUUACAACCCUCAAGCUCAGCUUGGUGUUGGGGCCCGCCGCCCCGGCGGGCCCUAAAGUCAGUGGCGGUGCCGUCCGGCUCCGAGCGUAGUAAUUCUUCUCGCUCUGGAGGUCCGGUCGUGUGCUCGCCAGCAACCCCCAAUUUUUUUCAGGUUGACCUCGGAUCAGGUAGGGAUACCCGCUGAACUUAAGCAUAUCAAUAAGCGGAGGA